UUCUCUCCCCUGGAAGUCCCGUGUGUCAAAUGAAUGGGUAGCGACUGAAGGAAGUGUCUCCAUCUACGAACAGUCACAUCCUGUGGAGAUGGCAGGGCAACCCGGAUUUUGAGAUACUGUAUGAUGUGUGAAAUGUAAAUGAGAAGAUCCCGAAUACCAUCUGUCAGACAUACUGUAAGACGCAGCUCUUCAGCUUCACUGCAGUGUUUGCUUCAGAGGACACAGGGUCUCAUUGGGAAAGGAAAGCUAUGAACUUUGCAGUCAACAAACACUCCACGUUCAACAUCUCUAGCAACAUGUUCUCAAGUGGAAACACCACUCGAGUGUCUUUUAUAUAGUCAAUUUAGUAAAAAAAAAAAAAAAAAAAACCUCUUACACAAGAUUUCAAAUUUAUGGUUUAAUUUAAUCACCCUCAUAUAGUUCAAAACGUGUAGGUUACAUAUUUCCCCCAGAAUGUCUAAGAUGUGGAACUUUAAAUGUGGUCAUUAAUUUUAUCCCUUAAAACUCGUCUUUGACAAUCAAUGUGAUGCACUGUAAAAAAUAAAUAAAAUAAAAUAA
Carassius gibelio (silver crucian carp) is the source of this 558-nucleotide long non-coding RNA. RefSeq lists it as uncharacterized. Lineage: Eukaryota; Metazoa; Chordata; Actinopteri; Cypriniformes; Cyprinidae. The transcript is spliced from 3 exons. The record is from RefSeq and is a predicted model, not a curated record.